This 515-nucleotide ribosomal RNA is filed under the name uncultured bacterium. RNAcentral describes it as "partial 16S ribosomal RNA". It matches the Rfam family "Bacterial small subunit ribosomal RNA", at positions 28 to 523 of the family's 1533-position model. The record is from RNAcentral.
GAUGAACGCUGGCGGCGUGCCUAAUACAUGCAAGUCGAGCGAAUGGAUUAAGAGCUUGCUCUUAUGAAGUUAGCGGCGGACGGGUGGGUAACACGUGGGUAACCUGCCCAUAAGACUGGGAUAACUCCGGGAAACCGGGGCUAAUACCGGAUAACAUUUUGAACCGCAUGGUUCGAAAUUGAAAGGCGGCUUCGGCUGUCACUUAUGGAUGGACCCGCGUCGCAUUAGCUAGUUGGUGAGGUAACGGCUCACCAAGGCAACGAUGCGUAGCCGACCUGAGAGGGUGAUCGGCCACACGGGGACUGAGACACGGCCCAGACUCCUACGGGAGGCAGCAGUAGGGAAUCUUCCGCAAUGGACGAAAGUCUGACGGAGCAACGCCGCGUGAGUGACGAAGGCUUUCGGGUCGUAAAACUCUGUUGUUAGGGAAGAACAAGUGCUAGUUGAAUAAGCUGGCACCUUGACGGUACCUAACCAGAAAGCCACGGCUAACUACGUGCCAGCCGCCGCAGUAA